GAUUAUGGCUCAGAACGAACGCUGGCGGCAUGCCUAACACAUGCAAGUCGAACGAGACCUUCGGGUCUAGUGGCGCACGGGUGCGUAACGCGUGGGAAUCUGCCCUUCGGUUGGGAAUAACACAGAGAAAUUUGUGCUAAUACCUUAUAAUGUCUUCGGACCAAAGAUUUAUCGCCGAGGGAUGAGCCCGCGUAGGAUUAGGUAGUUGGUGGGGUAAUGGCCUACCAAGCCGACGAUCCUUAGCUGGUCUGAGAGGAUGAUCAGCCACACUGGGACUGAGACACGGCCCAGACUCCUACGGGAGGCAGCAGUGGGGAAUAUUGGACAAUGGGCGAAAGCCUGAUCCAGCCAAUGCCGCGUGAGUGAUGAAGGCCUUAGGGUUGUAAAGCUCUUUUACCCGGGAUGAUAAUGACAGUACCGGGAGAAUAAGCUCCGGCUAACUCCGUGCCAGCAGCUGC
RNAcentral lists this ribosomal RNA (458 nucleotides) under uncultured bacterium. RNAcentral describes it as "bacterial SSU rRNA". It matches the Rfam family "Bacterial small subunit ribosomal RNA", at positions 15 to 518 of the family's 1533-position model. The record is from RNAcentral.